AACGCGAAGAACCUUACCUGGAUUUGACAUCUUGUGACAACCCUAGAGAUAGGGCUUUGGUAGCAAUACCACACAAAGACAGGUGCUGCAUGGCUGUCGUCAGCUCGUGUGGUGACAUGUUGGGUUAAGUCCCGCAACGAGCGCAACCCUUGUCCUUAGUUGCCAGCAUUCAGUUGGGCUCUCUAAGGAGACUGCCGUGGUUAACACGGAGGAAGGUGGGGAUGACGUCAAGUCCUCAUGGCCUUUAUAUCCAGGGCGACACACGUGAUACAAUGGACGGUACAGAGGGAUGCGAACCCGCGAGGGGGAGCUAAUCUCAAAAAGCCGUUCUCAGUUCGGAUUGGAGUCUGCAACUCGACUCCAUGAAGUUGGAAUCGCUAGUAAUCGCGGAUCAGCACGCCGCGGUGAAUACGUUCCCGGGCCUUGUACACACCGAGACGUA
This 442-nucleotide ribosomal RNA is filed under the name uncultured bacterium. Its description in RNAcentral is "bacterial SSU rRNA". It matches the Rfam family "Bacterial small subunit ribosomal RNA", at positions 958 to 1398 of the family's 1533-position model. The record is from RNAcentral.